UGGCUCAGGAUGAACGCUGGCGGCGUGCUUAACACAUGCAAGUCGAACGAGGUCCAACCUUCGGGUGAAGACCGAGUGGCGAACGGGUGAGUAACACGUGGGGAACCUGCCCUUCUCUCUGGGAUAACGUCGAGAAAUCGGCGCUAAUACCGGAUACUCCUUGCGGACCGCAUGGUCUGCUCGGGAAAGCUCCGGCGGAGAUGGAUGGCCCCGCGGCCCAUUAGCUAGUUGGUGAGGUAACGGCCCACCAAGGCAACGAUGGGUAGCCGAGCUGAGAGGCUGAUCGGCCACACUGGGACUGAGACACGGCCCAGACUCCUACGGGAGGCAGCAGUGGGGAAUCUUGCGCAAUGGGCGAAAGCCUGACGCAGCAACGCCGCGUGCGGGAUGAAGGCCCUCGGGUCGUAAACCGCUUUCAGCAGGGAUGAAACUGACAGUACCUGCAGAAGAAGCCCCGGCUAACUACGUGCCAGCAGCCGCGGUAAUACGUAGGGGGCAAGCGUUAUCCGGAUUCAUUGGGCGUAAAGAGCGCGUAGGCGGCUUGUUUAGUCAGAUGUGAAAACCGGGGGCUCAACCCGCGGCCUGCAUCUGAAACUGACAGGCUUGAGUCUGGUAGAGGAAAGUGGAAUUCCUGGUGUAGCGGUGAAAUGCGCAGAUAUCAGGAGGAACACCAGUGGCGAAGGCGGCUUUCUGGGCCACGACUGACGCUGAGGCGCGAAAGCUAGGGGAGCGAACAGGAUUAGAUACCCUGGUAGUCCUAGCCGUAAACGAUGGGCACUAGGUGUGGGGGGUCAUCGACUCCCUCCGUGCCGAAGCUAACGCAUUAAGUGCCCCGCCUGGGGAGUACGGCCGCAAGGCUAAAACUCAAAUGAAUUGACGG
This 880-nucleotide ribosomal RNA is filed under the name uncultured bacterium. RNAcentral describes it as "bacterial SSU rRNA". It matches the Rfam family "Bacterial small subunit ribosomal RNA", at positions 20 to 916 of the family's 1533-position model. The record is from RNAcentral.